RNAcentral lists this small RNA (55 nucleotides) under Phormidium nigroviride PCC 7112. Its description in RNAcentral is "Oscillatoria sp. PCC 7112 Nitrogen stress-induced RNA 1". It matches the Rfam family "Nitrogen stress-induced RNA 1". The record is from Rfam by way of RNAcentral. Lineage: Bacteria; Bacillati; Cyanobacteriota; Cyanophyceae; Oscillatoriales; Oscillatoriaceae.
UGGUAGAUGCACCCUGAUUAAAUAACUCCCGACCAAUUUUGGCCGGGUUUUUUUU